CUGACGCUUCCCGGCGAUGGCGGCGGCGGUGGAUGUGGAUGCAGUGGAUGGAUGGAUGAUAUGUUGUGUAGUAGUAGUAGUGUUCUAGGAUGCCUAGGUGUUGCGUUGAUCUCUAGUAGGAUCUGAAUUAGAUGCUUAAUUGUGCUUGUACCGAUGCUAAAACUAAGAAGGUGCACUUGUGUAUGAUGGACAGGGGGAUUAGUUGCUCUGUAAUUCGUUACCUGUGUUCUAUAUAAAAGUAUCAUCCUUUCGAUGAUUUUCUUG
RNAcentral lists this small RNA (264 nucleotides) under Oryza sativa Japonica Group (Japanese rice). RNAcentral's name for it is "misc RNA Os07g0545400". Lineage: Eukaryota; Viridiplantae; Streptophyta; Magnoliopsida; Poales; Poaceae. The record is from RNAcentral.